AAGAUCCAAAGAGCCGUGCUUCAUUCUGUACCCUCUUGUGGAAUCCAAAGUCAGUCAUCUAGCUUGGCCAGAACAAUAGGAUGAACAGGAAUGAAAUGGCGGAGAUGCUGUGAUUGAAGAA
Molecule: long non-coding RNA, 121 nt
Organism: Amblyraja radiata (thorny skate)
Lineage: Eukaryota; Metazoa; Chordata; Chondrichthyes; Rajiformes; Rajidae
Exons: 3
Source: RefSeq, a predicted model, not a curated record